GAUGGGAAACCUUCAAGAAUAAUAGUGAGCGAGGAUGUUGUAUUUGAUGAGGGUUCCAUGCUGCAGCAAAAGGUUGAAACUGAACUAAUAACUUCUAAGCAAAGAGGCAACCAUGAGCCUAACCUGGAGGUGGAGCUUACUGAUGAUCACAGGGACACUGAUGAAAAGUUCAAGUCUUGUGACAGUAAACCUGGUUCCUCAAAAAUGGAUAACUACCAGCUGGAAAGAGACAGAGAAAGAAGGGUUAUCAAAAUGCCUAAGAGAUUUGGUAUAGCUGAUUUGAUAUCUUAUGCACUGAAUGCUGCUGAAGAAGUUAUUGGGGAAGAGCCCAGCAGCUAUAAGCAAGCCAUGAAUAGUAGAGAUAAAUCCAAGUGGCUGUCAGCAAUGGAAGAAGAAAUAUCCUCAUUAAAGAAAAACAACACCUGGACUCUGGUGAAAAAACAAGAGGGUAGGAAGCUGGUUGGGUGUAAGUGGAUUUUCAAACUUAAAGAUGGAGUUACAAGUGUUGAACCCCUAGAUAUAAGGCUAGGCUGGUGGCUAAGAGUUUUACACAAAGAGAAGGAGUAGAUUACAGUGAAGUUUUUUCACCAGUUGUCAAGUAUAGCUCAAUCAGGGUGUUGCUUGCAAUAACAACCUACAAUGAUCUGAAGUUGGAUCAAAUGGAUGUCAAGACAGCCUUCCUACAUGGCAAUCUUGAAGAAGAGAUAUACAUGGAACAUCAAGAAGGUUUCAUAUAAAAGGGGUCAGAGGACAUGGUUUGUUUGCUUAAGAAGAGCUUGUAUGGCUUAAAGCAAUCCCCAAGGCAGUGGUAUUUGAGGUUUGACCAAUUUAUGAUUGCUCAUGGUUACUUGAGGAGUCAAUAUGAUAGCUGUGUGUACUGCAAGUUCCUACCUUCUGGAGAUGGAAUUUAUUUACUUCUCUAUGUUGAUGACAUUCUCAUUGCAUGCAAGCACAUAGAAGAAAUAGAAAAGCUUAAAUCUGAGCUAAGGUCUGAAUUUGAGAUGAAGGACUUAUGCUCUGCCAGUAAGAUUCUAGGAAUGCAGGUUAAAAGGGAUAGAGCUGCAAAUACUCUAUUUCUCACACAGGUUGGUUAUGUCAGAAAGGUGCUCAGCAAGUUUGACAUGGUUACCACUAAAGCAGUUUCCACUCCUUUAGGCACACUUUCAAGCUGUCAAAACAGUAAGAACCAUAUGAUGAUGCAGAUAUUGAGUACAUGAAGAAAGUUCCAUACUCUAGUGUGGUUGGACGCAUUAUGUAUGCUAUGGUGUGCUCUAGGCCUGAUGUUGCUUAUGGGGUAGGUGUAGUUAGCAGAUUCAUGGGGAACCCAGGCAAAAUGCGUUGGAAUACUGCUAAGUGGAUACUUAGGUAUCUUAGUGGAUCAUCUGAUUUUGGUAUUCUAUUUAGUAGGGAUAACAAUGUCACAAGUAAGGUCAUAGGCUAUGUGGACUCAGACUUUGCUGGUGAUUUGGAUAAGAGGAGGUCUACUACUGGUUUUGUUUACACCAUGUGUGGAGGAGCUGUGAGUUGGAAAGCAUCACUGCAAUCAGUUGUUGCUUUAUCAACUACUGAAGCCGAAUACAUUGCACUUGCUGAAGCUGUUAAAGAAGCAAAAUGGCUCAGAGGGAUUAUAUCUGAACUGGGCCUGAUUCAAGAUACAAUUCCCAUAUGUUGUGACAACUCAAGUGCAAUUCAGUUGAACAGAAAUUCCAAAUACCAUGAGAGGACCAAGUAUGUGGAUGUGAGGUUACACUUCAUAAGAGAGAAAAUUGAAAGGGGAGUAGUGAAUGUUGUAGAAAUCUCUACUGAAGACAAUCCAACAGAUGCACUGACAAAACCAAUACCAACAGUCAAGUUCAGGAACUCUCUGAGCUUGAUUGGAGUUAGAAGCUUGUAAGUCAAGCAUAUUAACAAGCUAAAGCAGAGCUGGGUGAAACUGGAACAAAAUGAACUAAGGUGGAGAUUUGUGAAGCUAGUUAGUUAAUUCUGUUAUGUGAUUAAGUGGCGUGCUGAGUCAGCAUUUGUGUGGGGCCAGUAGUUAGUUAAUUUGUUACUGCUAACAGCUGGACAACAAUAGCUAUAUAUACAUAGCUCAGAGCUGAUCAACAUAUACUUUUCAGUCACGAUUUUGAGGGACCUAGGGUGAGAGAUAUGAAAUUAUUUGUAUGAGAGAUUGAAUCUUUGUCAUCAAAAGUCUCUUUGUAAACACUUUGUUCAAUAAAAGCUUCAAGCCCAGGAGGGUUCUUCAGUCGUGGAUGUAGGUACUUUGGUACUGAACCACGUUAUUCUGUGCGUGUUGUUUCCUAUUCAUCUUCUUUCUUUUCUGGUUAUUACUUGAAUUGGGUUGGUUAACGUUCUUUGUUAAAGAGAGUUGAUCUUGGUCGAUUGGGUUCGUUAGCUCAUGUUGGUUGAUUAACGGCUGAGGAUUUGAGUAAUUCCACAACAUUCCUCAUUCCCAAAUUUAGUAGAUCCCAUCACUUUCAUUUGCAUUCUUUGAUUUAAUUUUACAAGUAAUUACAUACAAUGGAAAUUAUUUCCUAAUUCAAGAAGUAAAUACACUCUUACUAGGUUUAAACCGUCCCACCCAUGGCGAUAGUACACACAUACAUAUGGAUGUAUGUAUGUAUUUGUAUAUAUGUGUGUGUGUAUUUCACUCCAAAACAAGACCAGGCUAUAGCCCAUCUUACCAUCCACAAUGAUUCGCCCAUGAUCAUAUGACUCCUAUCAUUGAUGAUGUAACUUUUAAGAUUGCUUUCUCAUAUAUGUAUUAAUGUUAAUCUAAGUUCGAUAUGUUCAAGUGAGGCAAAGAAAUGGUUACAAAUUCGUUAGUUAAAAGUACGGGUCAGAUGAGAAUGCAAAUUAUAUAUAAUAUUAUAUUUUUUACUAAUUCAAUUUUGGCUUGUGAUUUAAGCUUAGGAUUUAGCUGCAAUGUAGACAAAAUUACAAAAUAACCAAAAUUGAACAGCAGCAAUCAGCAUCCAAGCAAAUAAAUCAGUAGCAGCUUCCAGCAGUGAAAAAUAGAGAUUAUGAUUCUCUCCUGAUCUGAUCAUGUUCUGAGCAAACUAAUUAAUUGCUGAUUGAUUGUUGAUAAAUAAAAAAAAUAAAAGAAGUUAAAUCUUACCCAUAUACUACCACUAAAAGAUAUAUGACAGAAGAUUUUUAAAAUAUCAGUAUAACUCAAAUCAGGAGAGGAUUCUGUUCCGAAAAAUAGUUGCAAAAGCAACAACAGAUCCGAGAAUUAGUAAAAGCGUGAAGGCAUGCGCUAAGAUAUUAGAGCACUGUCCUCGAGAAAGCUUUGCUGGCGCAAUACAACGAAUGAUUAUUAAUGUAAGAAUGCAUUUACAAAUGACUAGACUGGAACAAGAAGUUGGAUAUGCUUUUGGUGAAGAAAAGUGAACUAUUUGUUUUAUGUAAUAUAACAAAAGAAAUUGUUUUCUUAAAUUAUUCAAUGGAAUGGGCAUCAGGGUACAACUUUCAAAUUUUUACAGGUAUCUAAUAAACAAAGGAAGUUGGUGCUUCAAGAAGUAAUUGAAGAUAGAAACUCCAUAGGUUAAAUUUAUUAACCUAAAAAAUUUUAGUUUUUGCAUUUUGUUGUUAUGUAAUUUAGUCACAAGUAAAUCAUUUUUCUAUACCCACUGUUAUGUACGAGGGAGAUUUUAUUAAUAAAAUGAAAACAUAAUUACAUCUAAAAGGAGGAAAAUAUUGAGCCUUAGCCAAAAUAAAAUCUAAAACAACAAAAGCUUGAAAGCUUGAAUACCAAAAAAUAAACAACCUAAACAUAAGCAGACCCAAAAAGUAAACCAAAAUGCAUGCAAUGCAACAAAAACUAACAGGUUGUUUAGCAGUUUUCUUGGUUUUGUUUCUAUUCAAGCUUUUAAAAUCACUAAGAGCUUUUGUUGAUAUCACUGACUUAUUUUAUGUUUACGAUAAUUAUAACAAAUAUGAAUUGUAGAUUGCUAGCAAUGGAUUUUGCAAAACGCAGCAAAUCUCAAUUAUAUUUUCGUUGACAUAAAUUCGCUUCAACAUUAAAUCACUAGCAUCAAUGAACAAGCAACGAAGAUAUAGCCUCUGACUAAAUCGAAAUAAAUUUCAAAGUAGCAAAUUCAAUAGCAUCGGUAGAUACUUUCUUCCUAUAGAUCACGCGCGCGCCCCAGCUACUGCAGAGAAUCUCCCUUAUACAUGCCAUGCUAUUUAGCUAAAGGCCAGAGUUUGAGAUUAUAAUGGCCAAUAAAAUUAGUUGCUUUUAUUGUGCUGAUGAAAUAAACUGUUAAAUAAAAAUAUAAUUAGGUAUUUAGUAAAUUAUGUUAUUGCGAUUGUUGUAAGUAGAUGAAGAAAGGUGUUUAAUAAAUUUUAUUAUGAAAGUGUUACCUUAUUAUAUAACGAACAAAAUAAAUCUAAGUUUACAUUAUCUUUUUAUUUUUAAGAGUAAGAUUAAUAAAUUUAUCAGGCAUGUGGUACACUUAAUAAAUUAUUUAAACAUGUCUUACUUUUUUUACUACAUAUGUACAAUUCAUAAAAAAUAAAGAAAGUGAAAUAUAUACAAUAUCAUUUUCUAUCUUAGCAGUUAAUUUCUCGUGGGUAAUGGGUUUGCUUUAACCAGGGUCGGCUCUAGCACAUUAGCGGCCUUAGGCGAAAUUUUUGUAUGGGGCCUUUCUCUAUUUAAAAACAACAAUUCUUAAAACCAUUAAAUAAUCUCAUUAUUUUAUUUUAAUGAAACAUAAGACAUUUCAUUUAUAUUACAAAUAAAAUCACAUUUAGUUUUGCAAGUUUCAUAAUACAAGCACCAGUUGAUCAACAUUUUCAACACCAACAACAAGACCUCAAAUCAAAAGAAUGCAUGUAAAUUAACAGCUUUAAAAACUGACAAUAUGAAUGCUACUGCCUCCUGGGAAUUCAAACUGUAGUAGGAAAAUAGCAAAUAUCCUGAAAACUCCAUCUCUGUCACAAAAUCACAUAUUUGAUAGGACCAUAACCCAUGAGAUAAUGUGAUUAUAUCAUUGCUCCAACAGUCCAACCGCUUCAUGUUUUGAUCCUUGUUGAAUGCAAUACUAACACAAGUAAUUAAUCAAUUAAAAAUUAUUCUUCUUGCUUUUUUAGAUGCAAAGUUAUUAAUUAAAUCCUCAAAAUUUAGGUUACCUAAAAAAUCUUUUAUCAAUUGAUAACAUAACUAAUCCAUUUAAUCUUUCUUGUGACAUUGUUGAUCUUAAAAAAGAUUUUAUCAAUUUCAGUUUUGAAAAACUCCUCUCAGCUGAAGCAACAGUUACAAGUAUUGUCAAUAAUAUUUUAUAAGCAACAAAUGCAUUAGGAAAAGAUCCUAUCUUUUUAAUAUAAUUAAGAAUGUCAAGUGAAGUAUUUAUUUUAAUUUGUAAAACUUCUUUCAAAACUUUUAACUCUGAAAACAAAUCUAAUCCAUCAAUAUCAGAAAACAUAUCAUGUUUCAAAGACUUUUCAAGAUGCAUGCAACUAUUUUUCAAACUAUCAUCAUCUAAUGAUUUUAACUUUUCAAAACUAAAUAAAAAUCCAAAAAUGCUUUGAUAUAAUUCAAACUACUGAAAUCUAAUAUUGAUAGAAGAAAUAGCUUGAUCGACAAUAUAAAUAAAGUAAUCAAUUCUAAAAGAAUCUUCAUGGGACGAAAUUCUUUCUUCAUUAUUAUUCUCACCAAAUACAGGUUUUCUACAAAUUACACGUUUUUCUUGAAAUUUUGGCUCUAUUCCCAUUUCACUUGCAAUCUCUUUAGCUAAAACAAUAGCCGACACAUAACCAUGUUCUCUAUAAUUUUCAAAAAAAAGAUGUAAGACCUUUUAGUUGAUUUAUGGCAACAUCGAUUUGCAUAUCUUGCUUUUGUAAGUUUUUACUAACAGUGUUAAUAGCAAAUAAUAUAUCAUACCAAAUAGUCAUACCUAAUAAAAAUUUAAAGUUUUCCAACUUAUAUGUUGCUAAACAUUUAGCUUCACUCUUUGUUUUAGGAUCUUCACCAAAUUCUGCCAAUUGGAGUAAAGCAUCUCUAAUUUGUGGGGCUUGAAACCUUAUUGCUUUAACACUUUCUAUGUGACUUUCCCAACGAGUUUGUGAUAAUGAUUGAACAGUUAAAUUAGGUACAUGAUCUUUUAAAAUUUUCCAUCUCUUUGUUGAAGAAGAAAACAAUGAAUAAUACGUUGUAAAACUCCAAAAAACAAAGUAGCUUUAGAACAAGAAUUAGCCAUAUCACAAAGUACUAAAUUAAGACUAUGACAGCCACAUGGUGUAUAAAAUGCUCUAGGAUUUAUUUCUAACAAUCUUUUUUGUACACCUUGAUUUUUUCCUUUCAUAUUAGAUCCAUUAUCAUAUCCUUGUCCUCUUACAUCAUUAAUAUCAAGCUCAAGUGUUUUUAAUACAUCCACAAGUUCACUAAACAAACCUUUUCCAGUGGUAUCAUCUACCUUUAAAAAUCCUAAAAAGUAUUCUUCUACAUUUACUAGAUUUGUUGAAAUAUCUAUACAUCUUAGUAUGAGAGACAUUUGUUCUUGGUGACUUGCAUUCAAAAUUAAUUCAUUUUGUAUGUUAUGGCCAAGAUAAUGAUUAUGAAUUUAACCUAUUUUAAUACGUCAAAUGUGCUCUUGCAUUGUUGGAUCAAAUUCUGCUAUCAUUUCAAUGAAACUUAAAAAAUUUCCAUUGCUCUCUUCAUAGAUCUUCUCAUUUGUUCCACGAAAUGCUAAAUUAUUUUUUGCAAGAUUUUUUACAACAACAAUAAUUCUUAUUAGUACUUUCUUCCAAUGUUCUUUCUCCUUGUUUAUUCUUUCUUGAGCAUCUUUGUCAAUUGUUCUUCUUGUUGACAAUCUUGUUUCUAAAUCAACCCAUGCAUUCAUAUUAGUUAUAUGUUCAUUAGUUGUUUCAUGUCGUUUAAGUUUAGCACUAAAAUUUUUCCAAUAUCUUGACCCUUCAUCACUUAACUGAGUUUUACUACAACUUAUAUUGAACAAUUUGCAAUAGAAACAAUAUACUCUGUCAAAAUCUUUUGAAUAUAUUAACCAUUUUCUAUCAUGUUUUUUUUCUCCAUUUGGUAGUAUUUUAACAUAAAAUGUGUUAGAAAAAGGCCUAAGAUUUUCAUCUUUUGGAUAAACUACAUCAUACUCUCUAAUUGGGCCUUUUUUCUACUAAAAGAUCUCUUAACUUUGUAUCUAUUUUUUUCCAUCUUCUCGGAUCAUAUAUGUUAUGUGGAAUAAAUAAAUUUUCUACAUUAGCUGUGCCACUAUCAAUUCCAGUUUCUUUUAAAUUUUCUUCUUCAACACUGUUUUCUUCAUCUUUUUCUAAUUCUUUUGGAGCCGAUUGUUGUUCUUGUUCAAUUACUAAUUCUUCACUUAAAUCUCUAUCUUUUUUAUAUGUGACAAACUUAUCAAGAGCCCCCCUUUUGAGAUUCAACUAGUUUUUCAAUUCUUCUUAUUUUCAGUAGUUUUUCAUACCCAGAUGCAUAUUUUCUAGUUGACAUCUUCAAUUUUAAAUAACAAACAGAAUCAAACAAACAAACAAAUUAACAAACAACAAAUCUUCUCCUAUAAAGUACUAAUAUUAUAUAUGAAAACAAACAAACAAACAAAAGCAUAAACAAAUAAUAAAAAACACAAAUACUUGAAAAGUGAAAACGAAAUAAUUAGAAUGAGUGCACCUGGAAAAAAAGAUGAUGACAAAUAGGUAAUGGAUUUUCUUUCUCAAGUACAAAGAAUGUCAAAUUUGAUAAAUUGGAGCAGAUGAGAUGCCGAAUUCAGUCAAUGGGAGCAAAUAAUUAGAAUCCAAUAAUUUCGAAUUUGAUCACUGGAAGGAGAUGAGAUGAUUAAAUGAAGCUUGAAUUAUGGAAUUGAGAAUGAAUAUUCUAGACUUUCUUGCUGAGGAAGAGAAAAUUGAAAAGGCAAAGGAUUUGGGCGUUGCUUUUAAGGUGUUUAAUUAUAAAAGGAAUAUUGAAAGUUUUAUUGGAAAGAUAAUGGAAAUAUUUAAUUACCGUUUGUAUUAAAUAAUUAGUUACCGUUUGGGAAGUCAAAGAUAAUUGUAUUAAAUAAUUAGUUGUGAAAAUUGGGCCUUUUUAAUUUUAUUGGAAAUAUAAUUAUAUUAACUAAUUGUGAAAAUUAGGCCUUCCUAUUUUUGGGCUCUAGACGGGUGCCUAUUUGGCCUAACGGUGGAGCCGGCCCUGGCUUUAACCAUGAGUGCAUUAUGGCAAACAAGCAUGGAGUUCUCUUUUUCUUUCUCUAUGGAGAAGAUGUUGGAAUCUUUACAAUUCACAUAAAGUAAAUAAACCCUAAUUUGAAUAAACUUUAGUUUUUAAGAUCAUAAAAUAUCAUGAUUUUCACAUAAUCAUAAUUGAGAGAAAACAUACCUUGAUCUGUAGCAAUUUUUCUUGAUCAAAUCUCACUGCCAAGAGUUAAAGAUUAGUAAAAUUAAUUUCUCUCUAUUGACCUCUUUAGAGCGACUCACUUUCUAAUGGAGAGAAAAUUAAUGUGAUAUCCUUUUAUAUAUUGGGAAGAGAGAGGUUUAAUAAAACUCUAAUUCUCACUUUCCAUCAAAGUGGGCAGUUAGUUUUUCCCAAUUGACCAAUAGGAUUUCAGCCCUUGAUUUACUUUAUUAUUGCUAAUUUAAUAAUGUGGCACGUGGGCCACUAUAAAAUAUUCCAACAUUAUCCUAUUUGGCCCAUGUGACACAUUUAAAUUAAUGGUUUAAUAAUAAUAAUAAAUAUUAUGCGCAUAGUAAGAGCUAAAUCCUUACUUGGAUUGGUCAAGCCAUAAAAUCAUCAUUGAACAAAAACUAAUACGAAUCAUAGUGGUUUCCCAUCAUUAUUUCGACAUAGUUCCUCAUAUGUAUCAUAAUAUCAGUUUUAUGCUUAACAUGACCUGUAAUGGGAAAGAAAACAAUGACGAUCCAUCAAUAAUGUCUUAGUCAGAGACAAAACCUAUUAACAAUCAUGUCAUCAUUCAUGUAUAUACCAUUAAAUCAAACAAGAUAUAAAAGAAUUAGAAACAAUACUUAAAUGAGCUCAGAGUAUCAAAUACAUAAAGAGCAUAACAAUUUAAACAUAAUGUCAAUAGAGAUAUCCAAUAAUACCCAUCCUUUCAACAUGUUCGAUGAAAACCUUUGGAUUUAAUCCUUUUGUUAAAGGAUCUGCAAUGAUAAAGUUGGUGCUAAUGUGCUCGAUUGACACUCUUCGUUUAUGAACUUCCUCUUUAAUGGCAAGGUAUUUUAAUUCUAUACGUUUAGCACCCUUUGAAUACCUGUCGUUUUUAGAGAAGAAGAUUACUACGACUUAUCACAAUAAAUCUUCAGUAGCUCUGUUGACAAUUCUAAGACCUGAAAUAAAGUUCUACAACCAUAAUCCAUGAACAGUGGCUUCAAAGCACGCCACAAACUUAGCUUCUAUAGUGCAAGUAGCAAUGACGAUCUGUUUUGCACUUUUCCAUGAGAUGGCUUCUCCAGCCUUUAUGAACAAAUAGCCAAAUGUGGAAUUUAUGGUAUCCACACAGCCAGCAUGAUAUGAAUCUGAAUACCCUAUCACUUUGAGAUGAUCAGAUCUCUUAUAAGUGAGCAUGUGAUCCUUUGUUCCUAGCAAGUAUCUUAAUUCUUUCUUUGCAGCUUUCCAGUAAUCCAAUCCAAGAUUACUUUGAUAUCUGCCGAGCAUUCCGAUAGUAAAACUGAUGUCUGGCCUGGUGCAUGUUUGUGCAUACACCAAACUUCAAAUAACAAAUGCAUAAGGAAUCCUUUCCAUCUGUUUGCAUUCCAAUUUGUUCUUUGGGCAUUGCAUAAGGCUGAGUUUAUCUCCUUUCUAAAUUGGAACAACACUUGCAAAGCGUUUUUCCAUUCUGAAUCUCUUUAAUACUUUAAACUCUUUGGUCUUAUGAAGUAGAGAAAAAUCAUUAGCAGUAAGUAAAAUGUCAUCAACAUACAAAAUUAGAAAAAUAAUCUUACUUCCACUGACCUUGAGAUAUAUACAUCGGUCAAAGAAGUUUUCUUUAAAUCCAAAGGAAGUGAUGGUAUCAUUAAACUUAAGAUACCAUUGUUGGGAGGUUUGGUUAAGUCCAUAUAUUGAUUUCUUUAAUUUACACACGAGAUUUUCCUUUUCUUCAGCUAAAAAGCCUUCAGGUUGGGCCAUAUAAACAUUUUCCUUUAAAUUCCCAUUUAGAAAGGCAGUUUUCACAUCCAUUUGGUGUAACUCUAAAUCAUAGUGAGCCACCAAUGCCAUAAUAAUUCUAAAGGAGUCUUUUUUAGAGAUUGGUGAAAAAGCCUCUUUGCAGUCAACGUCGUCCUUUUGAGUAUAACUGAUAACUCUAUGAGAUGAGAGUUAUUAUUAUACUUUUAGACUUAAAUAAUGAUUACUUAUAAAGUAAAUGAUGUGCUUUUAUUGUAUUUUAGUUAUAUUUUGCAUAAACAUCUAUUUUAGUUUAUCUUUAAUCAAUUUUGUUUGAUUUAGAAUAUUUUGUGUGCUUAAAUCUCAUGCAUAAUUGUAGGUGAUCGAAAGCUCAAAUUUUAAUAAAGGAAUGUUGUUGCAAUGGGCUUGCGAAAAUAAGGAAAGAACUUGGCUAUAGAAGAACUGAAACAAAUUUGGAACAAUGCAGUUGUUGUAGCCGUUGCUUUAGCAUUUGUUGCUGUAGUAAUCCUGGAGCAUUGACAGAGAAGAUUUCGAGUGAGCUACUUAGAAGAUUGGGAUUGGAGUUUCCAAAUCUUGAAGAUACGUGCCCUAAACUUCCGGUUGCCCUAAUUUUUAACUAUAAAAGGAGCACACAAGACAACAUAUUCAGGCUAUAAUUAAAUUGCUAUAGCACCAGAAGAUCAGGAGAAGACAACAUUCACUUGUUCUUAUUGAACUUUUACUUUUAGAAGGAUGUCAUUCGGUUUGUGCAAUGCUCCAGCAACCUUCCAGAGGUGUAUGAUGUCCAUCUUUUCAGAAAUGGUCGAGCAAACAUUAGAGAUGUUCAUGGAUGACUUCUUGAUUUUUGGGGAAACAUAUGAUGAUUGCUUACAAAAAUUAGAAAAUGUGCUUAAGAGGUGUGAGGAGACUAACUUGGUACUCAAUUAGGAAAAGUGCCACUUUAUAGUACAAGAAGGUAUAGUCUUAGACCAUAAAGUCUUAAAAAAGGGAAUAGAGGUGGACAAAGCAAAAAUAAAAGUGAUACAUAAAUUUCCACCCUCAACUUCAGUAAAGGGUAUUAGGAGUUUUCUAGGACAUGCUGGGUUCUAUAGAAGGUUCAUGAAAAACUUUUCCAAAAUAGCUAAACCCUUGUGCAUGCUGCUAGAAUAUGACAGACCUUUAAACUUUGAUGAAGAUUGCUUAAAAGCUUUUUGUGAAUUGAAAAAAGCUCUUAUUACAGCACCCGUCGUUAUAGUACCAGAUUGGAGUUCACCUUUCGAGUUGAUGUGUGAUGCCAGUGACCACUUUGUUAGAGCAAUGCUAGGGUAGAGGAAGAAUAAGAUUUUUCACUCCAUUUACUAUGCUAGUCCUUACCAAUGCUCAGAUCAAUUAUACCACCACUGAAAACGAGUUGUUAGCAGUUGUAUUUGCAUUUGAUAAAUUCAGAGCCUAUUUGGUUAGCACCAAAGUGAUAGUUUACACAGACCAUGCAGCAAUAAUGUAUUUGAUUGCAAAUAAGGAUGCCAAACCAAGGUUGAUAAGGUGGAUCCUCUUGCUACAAGAGUUUGACUUGGAGAUCAAGAAUAGAAAAGGGACCGAGAACGAAGUAGCAGAUCAUCUUUCAAGGCUUGAAGCAGAUGCAAGCACCUUGACCAAACAUGACAUCACAUAAAUAUUCCAUGAUGAGCAACUGCUAAUGCUACAAUAUGCACAGAUGCUGCAACAGUCUAGACUCCCAUGGUAUGCAGAUUUUGCUAAUUACUUGGUGAGUGAACUUUUACCACCUGAUUUGAGUUAUCAGCAGAAGAAGAGAUUUUUCCAUGAUGUCAGAAGUUAUCAGUAGGAUGAUCUCUCUUUGUAAAAGAUGUGUUCAGACCAUUUGAUUAAAAGAUGUGUACCUGAUGAAGAAAUUCCACACAUAUUGUAUUCAUGCCAUACUGCAGCAUAUGAAGGAUAUUUUGAAGGCCACAAAAUAGCUGCCAAAGUUUUACAAUCAGGUUAUUACUGGCCCUCUAUUUUUAAAGAUGCUUAUAAUUUUGUUAAAUAUUGUGACAGGUGCUAAAGAACAAAGAACAUAUCUCAAAAGUAUGAAAUGCCAUUAACGAACAUUUUAGAAGUUGAGCUCUUUGAUGUAUAGGGAUAGACUUACGGGUCCAUUCCCACCAUCUUUUGGGAACUUAUAUAUUCUAGUUGCCGUAGACCAUGUGUCCAAAUAGGUAAAAGCUUUAGCCUUGCCGACAAAUGAUGCCAAAGCUGUGGUGAAAUUCUUUCAAAGGAAUACUUUCUCAAGGUUUGAGACUUUAAGGCACUCAUUUUUGCAACAUGAUAUUUGCUGCAACAUUGACUAAAUAUGGAAUUAAGCAUAAAACUGCUACAGAAUAUCACCCACAGUCUAAUGGUCAGCCAGAAGUGUCAAACCGGGUGAUCAAAAGGAUUUUAGAGAAAGUAGUGAACCCUGCUAGAAAAAAUUGGUCACUUAGAUUACAUGAUUCCUUAUGGGCCUACAGUAUAGCCUACAAGACACCACUUGCCAUAUCUCUAUACGAAAUUUUCUAUGGCAAAGCUUGUCAUUUUCCAUUAGAGCUAUACCAUAAAGCAUAUUGGGCAUUAAAACAACUAAACAUGGACAUGCAUGCUGCAACAGAGUAUAAAAAAUUCCAACUUUGUGAACUUGAUGAAUUAAGGUUGUUAUCCUAUAAAAAUGCAAGGAUUUACAAGGAGAAAACAAAACAAUGGCAUGACAAGCACAUUCAGCAAAGAAAUUUAAUUCCAGGCCAACAAGUUUUGCUCUACAACUCAAUAUUAAAGCUUUUUUUUUUGGGAAAGUUAAAAUGUAGAUAGUUUGGACCUUUAAGACUUAUCAACAUUUAUCCUCAUGGUGCUGUAGAUUUCAAGGAUGAGAAAAUUGGUAAGGAAUUUAUGGUAAAUAGGCAAAAAAUCAAACAUUACAUUGGUGAUGUCUUGCAGGACUCAAUGGAGGAUGUAAGCCUCACAGAUCCAGUUUGAGCAGAUUAGAGAAGGUCAGACUGAAGGACCUAAAAUCAAGUGCUAAUUGGGAGCCAAUCCAAUAAUUAGGGAAGUUAUUUUUAUUUUUCUUUAAAUUUAAUUUUGCAUGUUUCUCUUUAUGGUUAUUGUCAUUAUGAUUAGUUAAUUUCUUUUCGUGUUUUAUUGCAGUCUAACUAAAAAAAAAAAAAAACUUGGGCUAUGAAACUGACACAUGUUGCUGCAUCAUUACACUUUACAUGACAGUUGGACAAUACUUCUCAUCAAACGGGGAACAUUACUGCAGAUUGCUGUAGCACAAGAUUAUUUGUUGUAGCAAUAAUUCUUACCCUUACAAUGACACACCUAUGGAAAAUUUUCUUUUACCAUUGGGAAUAAAUUUUUGACAACUGGCUUAGCAAAUCAAGAUAAAGAUAAGAAGGGAUUACAUAAUCCCUAGAUUCCCGAACCGAUAUCCUUUCCUUAUUUAAAUUGGAUAUGUUUUUAAAUUCAAAUAUUAUUUUCAAUUUUAUCUUUUAAAAUAAAAUUUUCUUUUAUUCUUAUUUUUACCAUCACCUAUAUAUUAGGGUUUUAUUGUGCUUUUUGUAAUCUCAUUCCAAAUUUUUUUUCUUUCUUUUCUCAUCAGCAGCUCCCUACAGUCACAACUCCUUUCACGGUCUGUCCUUUUUCUUUUACCCAACAACUUAGAUCUGGUUGCUCUAGCCAUAACAAGAUACAAAAAGACUGCGGCUAGACUAAAUAACCCUUACGAUUCUAUAGUUACAAUGCCGAAGAUAAGUUCGAUGAAUUUAUCAAAUCAAGAAUGAUUUUAGAAGAAAAAAGAUUCCAAUUCCUGCCACAACCUUCUGGAACAAUCUACACUAUCCAUGCUGCUGCAGCAAGAAGGGGCUGGUUAGAAUUUUGCACCCAUUUAAGGGACCCUAUGCUGCCGAUUGUCAAGGAAUUUUAUGCCAACAUGCUCCGGAAAGACCAAUGCACAAUUUGGGUAAGGAACACUCAAGUUUCCUUAGACCCAAGAGUAAUUAAUGCUUUUUACAAUUUACUUUUUGAUGUUGACUGUGAGUACUAAAAAAUGAUUGGAAGCAUGACCCAUAAGAAAUGGAAUAGUGUGCUUAAAACCCUUACAGUGGUAGGUAGUUCAUGGGAAAAUGACGAGGGUCAAGUAAUAAAUAGGAUCGAAUUGAAACCAAUUACCAAAGUUUGGGUAAAAUUUUUGAAAUCUAGAUUGAUGCCCACAAUACACACCACCACCGUGUCCCAAGAAAGGUUGAUUCUCUUAUAUGUCAUCCUUAAAGGAUUGCCAAUCGAUGUUGGGACAAUUAUCGAGAGGGAGAUUAGAGAAUGUGCUAUGAAAAAGCACAAAUUGCUGCUUUGUAUUUUCUUAACUUAUCUCUAGCUUAUGUCUUGUAUCUGAAGUGAACAUAAUUGCAAAGGAUGAACGCAUUAAGAAUAAAGGAGCUCUCACUGCUCGUACUAUAGAAAUAAUUACUGGUGAAUCUACUGCAGCAAUACCAAAGCAUACUGCUAUAGUAGGAGCAAAGAGGGCCAUUGGGGUUGAAAGGAGAUUGUAAGAGCUGAGUGACAUUAUCACUCAAUGUGCAGAGGCACAACAGAGAAAAAAUAAUCGAUUCUGGAACUACUUGAUGCAUUUUGAAGACCACUUGCAUCAAUUUACUGUUUACACGAAAAAAAAAAUAGAGACUUUCCUGAUAGCUUGUUGCAACAAUUUAAUUUUCACACAGCAGAAGAAGAUGCACCCACUCAAGUCGCAACCAAUGACGAAGAAUCAGAGUCUGAGGAAGAACCACAACCAACUGAGGAGGACAAAGAGGAGUAUGAAGAAACAUUAAAAGAAGAAAAUAAGGAGUAAAGUGCGAGCGAUGAUUCAAUAGAAGAGCAGGGAGCGGCACCUCCAGUAAUGUCUCCUAAACGUAGAUAGAAGCACAUCAUCAUAAUAAAAGAUGAGCAAGUUGAUGAGCCUCCAAUCCCAAUAUUCUCUAGUAAAGGCAAAGAAAAAGUUAUGAGUGAUGACCACUUAGAGGACAAUUAAGAGGACAUUGAUGCAGAACUUAAAGCACCUGCCACAAGCGUUCCUCAAACAGCUGCAGAAAAGUAGAGUUUACUGGAUAUAAUUGUUGAAAUCACUGCUGAAGAACCUGCUGCAACAACAUUUGCUCAAACUGCUCCACAACAAACUCGAACCAAAUUUCCUACCAUAGCUCAUAGGGGAUCCAGCAAACGCAAAGGGGCACAAAUCUCUAGAGGUGCUACAGCACCAAAAGAACCAGAGCACAAGCAAACAAGACCCACUCAGCCCAAAGUUACUGCACCUGCUGGAACUCCACCGAUCAAUCCAACUCUAAGUCAAAAAAAGAAGCAGCCAGCUGCCACAUCACUUGGUUAACCCAAAGAGCGUUUGCGAAGUAUAACUAAGAAGAAGUGAACCUGCUGCAACAGAAUAUCCAACAACAGGGGACUAUCCCUUGCCAGCCCAUUUUAAUUUUUCAUCAUCUGAAACUUUUCGUUUAUUUUUUUGUUUUUUAUUAUUCAAUUUUCAUUCUUUUGCUUGUUAAUGCAUGCGUGUUUUUUUUAAUUUAGUUUGUGUGCUUGUGAGGACACAACACCUCUCAGUUUGGGGGGUUUUUGUUAUGGUGUUAUGUGUUUGUGGAUGCAUGUGUUUGUGUUGAGUGUCAUGUGAAGCUCUGUUAUCGAGCAUUUAUGUAUGGAUUGGUAAACCUAAUGAUAAUGAAUUGAGUGACAUUCAAUAUUUAUGAUUGCUAAAGUAGGGAUAGUGUACAGAUGAAGGCUGAAAUUUUGUCUCAACACUUAGACUUUGAUUGAGUUUCAUAAGUAUGAUGUAGCAGAGAUAGGAGAAAAACAUUGAGGGUAAAAAAAAAAAAUCUUAAGUUUGAGGGAAAGUUUUUGUUAAAUUGUGCUUGUUAUGAAAUAAAUGCUGCUCCAAUAGCUUAUGUUGCUGAGUAACCGGAGUUGAGUAUAUACUCUAUAUGCAGACUUGAGUCCAAAGGCAAUAAGAGCUAUGAGCAUUGUUGUAGCAUCUAUUAAAAAAAGAGAGAAAUAAAGGUCUUUUAUCUAGGAUAAUGAGUAACUAAGCCUGUUCAUAAGCCAUAUGUUCAGCCUUGAGUUAAAGAUAUCUUUAGAUAAGACGAUGUUGUGAGCAGUACUGUAGAAACUCUGAUAUGUACAUUGGUUGAGCAGUUCGGUGUCAUCACCAUAAGUGAUAGACAUUCACAUUAAAAAUCAAUGAUACAUUGAAGAGAAUUUAAUAAAAAAAAAAAGAAUAUUAUGCUAUAACACAGUUUGAACUUUGUUUGUGACUUCUGCUCUCCCAUGUAUGAAUGUACUUGUAGUAUACCUCUAAAGUAUAUGUAACAUCUGUACAAUGCUGCAACAUCUUUAAAAUUUGAUCAAAGUGGCACACAUACACACUUUGGACAGAAUGAGGCCUAAGUCUAAAAUUGAACUACUGUGGCAAUUUUGCAUGAUUAAAAAUGUGAUCUGAGGGUUGAGAAAUCCUUACAAACUUGAUGACAAAGCUAAUUUAUUAGUGCAUGAUUGUGUGAUUAAAGUGUGAGUAUUGUCAUCAUUAUUUGAGGACAAGUAAUGGUUUAAGUUUGAGGGUAUAUUAACUCUAUGAAAUGAGAGUUAUCAUGACACUUUUAGACUUAAAUAAUGAUUACUUAGAAAGUAAAUGAUGUGUUUUUAUUGCUUUUUUUAGUUUAUCUUUAAUCAAUUUUGUUUGAUUUAGAAUAAUCUGUGUGCUUAAAUCUCAUGCAUAAUUAUAUUUGAUCGAAUGCUCAAAUUUCAAUAAAGGAAUGCUUUUGCAAUGGGCUUGUAAAAAUAAGGAAAAAACUUGGUUACAGAAGAAUUGAAACAAAUCUAGAACAGUGCAGUUACUGUAGCCGUUGUUGUAGCAUCCGUUGCUGUAGCAAUCCUAGAGCAUUGACAAAGAAGAUUUUGCACAAGAUACUUAGAAGAUUGCGAUAUGGAGUUUCCAAAUCUGGAAGAUACGCGCCCUAGACUUUCGGUUGCCCUAAUUCUCAACUAAAAAAGGAGCACAAAAGCAAGGAAAGAGGAGAGCCGUCAACCAAGAACAAAAACCAAAAAGAAACAAGAGUAAAAUAGAAUUCAAUAGCAAGAUUUAAGGCUGCAUCAGAGGAGAACACGCAGAGAUCAAUUGGGAAAUCAAUCCUUCUUAUCCUUUUCUUGUUUACUAGUUUACUCUUCAAUCAAUGGGAUGUAUUUGAUGGCUGAAACCCAUUUAUUUAUUUUUCUUUCACAAACCAUGAACUAAAUUUAUUUGUGGUUGAGUGAUAAACAAUCUUUAUGAUUCAUUGAUUGAUUAUAUGUGUUGCUAGAUGUUUGCUAUAGUGCUUUGUUUUGAUAAUACUUAUUUCUAUUCAUUAUUUCAGUUGACCACUCAUUUAAUGAUAUUAGCUAAGAAAGAGCCACAAAAAGGCCUAUCUUAGUGGGACAUAUCAUAACAAUACUUGGUUUUGGAUUGAGUUUCUUGAGUUGAGUUUUACUUGAUUCUAAAAGGGUUAUGCUUAAUCUAAAACUAAUGAUAAACUAGACACGGGGAUUCACCUUAUAUGGUAAAUAGAACUUAGAUCGUUUAUUGCUAUAUUUAAUGUUGGCGUAAUAAUUGGUCAUUAUUAGGUUGCAUUAGAUAUAAGAUAUCCAACAUGCGAUAGCUGAUGAUGCAUGAGAGAUUCUGCCUAAUGCUGUAGCAACUAAACUUAAAAUUGGAAGAAAUAGUCAAAACCAUUAAGAAAGUUUAAUCACUCAACUAUUCUAUUCUCAUUGGUUUUAUCCUUGUCUUCGACAUAAGAAUUUUCUCUGCUGCAUUUUUAUUUAUUGCAUUUUAUUUUAAUUAGUGUUUUAAUUUUAUUAGUUGCUUUAUUUUCAAUUAAAACAAAACUGCAUUGUUAAGAUUGCUGUAGCAAACCUAAUAACAUCAAUCCUUGUGGAGACGAUCUGAAUACUCAUCAGUAUACUACUUGUUGUGUACACUUGCAUGUUGACACCCAUAGCAUUUGAAUUAACAUACAACAAUAACCUUUGGCAACGAGUCUGAAAAUAUCUAAAUGAUGUCCAGUAUCGAAAACCAAACUGUAAGUUCCAAUGCCUUUAACUGAAGCUUUAACCCGGUUCCCUAUGAAAAUAAACUUCUCAUUUGGGUUUGUACUUUGGAUCGUAAGAAAUCCCUGCAUCAUGUUUGAAACGUGAGUAGUGCAACUAAUCCACCACAUGUUAUAAGGAACUUCAACUAAUUUUGAUUUGAAACAUGCUAAAGCACUAGGCUUACCUUUCUUUUCGAACUAACCUUUAUGCUUUAGGCAAUCCUUAGCGAAAUGUCCAUGUUUCUUACAGAAAUGACACUUCUCAUUUUUGAUGUCCUUCUUCUGGACUUGGGUGGGUUGCACUUUCAGCUUUGAUGCUUUUUUCUUGCCCUUGUGAUAAUUUUUUCUUUCAGGCUUCUUUUCAGCUUCUUUAUGACCCAUGAGGUUAAUUGAGUGAAUUCUUUGUUUCUUAAGUAUUGUCUCUUCUUGAAUGAGCUUGGUCUAGAGCUCAUUUAUACUCAAUUUGUCUUUAAUGGUGUUAUAAUUUAUUUCAAAUGCACCAUACUCAAAAGGCAAAGAGUUGACAAUGAAUUGCACAAGGAAACUUUCACUUACUUCCAUCCUCACAGACCUCAAUUUUUUUGUUGUGUCUAUCAUCUCAGUCACAUGCUGAUGCAUGGUACGUGUACCAUCUAACUUACAUGUAGUCAACGUACCCAUUAAUGCCCUAGCAAGAGAUCUAUCAGCCAAUUCAGACUGAGAACUCUCUUUCACAAAUUCCAUAUAUUCCUUAGCACUUUCAGUUUUCAAAAUUGUAGACUUGAUGUUGUUGACAACUGUCAUCUACAUAAACAUUAUGCUUAGUUUGUUUAAUAUCUCCCAAGUCUUAUGGAAAGAUCUCUCUUCAGCACUGCUUUCAUCAAUAAUAGCAGUUGGCCUUUUAGUUAAUAGUGCUAAGUCAAGAUCCAAAACACCUAAGUGAAACUGGACUUGCUCAGACCAAUCUAGGUAAUUAAGGCCAUUAAACGUAACAACAGACGAAGCUUGCGAAUGAAGAGCAACAGGCACAGGUGCUGCAAAUAUAUAUAAAUGCUCAUACAUUAAUUCUUUGAACUUAAACACAUAAUAUAGAUUCAGAUAAAAUUCACAUAAACUUUAAGCACAUAUUGAAGUUCACCUUUGGACGAUACAACAAUACACUACAAUAAACAUAAUUGAUGCUUUACUUUAAUUUCACAUAAUUAGUAAUUAAAUACACAUUAACUAGACAAGUAAGCUAUUUUUGGAUGUAAUAAACAUAUCUAAUCAAGCAUACUAAUUACCCACAAUCAUGAUCAUAGAUUAUAAAAUUAGUUAAUCAACCUUUGGGUGAUUCUAAAUAUUUUAUAAUCUAUGAAUUUCAAUAUACCUAUAAGCAAAAUCAUCAUGUCAUUAAAUAAUAAGCAUCACAAUAAUUACGAGUAUUUGAAAUUGAAUUUAAUUUGACAUCUAUGAAAACUUUCUAAAUUGGCCACUUUGGUGACUAACAAAUUAUCAUAAUAUGAGUGUCAAAUUGAAUAUUUAUAACAAAAUAUUUUCCUUAAUAAAAAUAAACAAAUAAAACCACAACUAUCAAUUGAAAUUUCAAACAUUAAAAUUGGAAUAUUAAAAAAUUUCAAAGAUUAUUAAUUAAUGAGUAGAAGCAUUCAAAAUUAUAUUAACAAAACUUAUAAAGCUUGACGUACAUAAAGUUAGUGGCUUUAUCAUACUAAACCCAAUCAAUCAUAUCUAUAAUUUAAUAAAAAAAAAAUCAGGGACUAAACUAAAAAUUUACAUGUUUACUACUAGAAAAAUAACCUUUACUGACACUUGUCUUGUGAUACUUUAUUAAAAAGUAUCAGUAAUUACAUGCAUUUCGGACAUUUUCCGUGUUUAACAAAUAAAUAUCACAAAUUUGUGAUACUAUAGUGUCUGUAAAUUAAAUAUCAGAGAUAUGUGACAAUAAGGUGUUAGUAAUUAGAAAAAUAAAAUUUUAAUUUUGUGUCCAUUAGGAAUCGAACUAAAGACCUAUAAACUUUAACUUUUUAAUUUUAAACAUUAACCACUGGGCCAUGAGUUGGAUUUUGAUUUUUGGCUUAAUAAGUAAAUAAUAUUAAAAAUUAAAUUAAAUUACCUAGAUACUAUGUCGUUUUAAUGGAAGGUGUACAUGAAAACCUAAAAUCUAAAAUUUUUAAGAAGUGAAAAAACAUUCCCCACGGCCGCUUCUUGUUAUGAACUGAAGCUCUCUUCCUUCCUUCUCUCUCUCUCUCUCUCUCUCUCUCUCUAUAACAAUGAUCUACCUCAGCCGUCAUCGUCAACCUUCAAAUCGCCAUCCUUGACCUAAAAUACCCUUGAACUAGAAAGUGUUGUGAAGAAUUUGAGCAAAGCUACGGUUUUUUUGAAAGUUCGAAUCCAAAAAUUAGGGCUUUUUUGUAGGGGGUAUUUCAUUGUUUUUAAUGUUAAGUUCGAAGAGAAUGAUUUUGUCGCCGUUACCGCCUAAGCAGUAUGGAGUGACGAAGCCAAUAUCAAUUGCAGGAUCGAUGGAGGGUGAUAUGCAAAGAACCCAUGAGAAAAGGUUGUGUUUUAUCUUUAUUUAUAAUUACUUUUUUCUUUCUGUAUAGAAAACGCUGAUUUCAAUUUCCUUUAGGGUUGAAGUUUUUGGUUGGAGCUGGGUUUUAUGAAAGCAAAGAAGAAGCGGCAAAGGGAGAAGAGGUUCUGUUUCGAAUUAGACAGGCAAGAGUUUUUUUUAAAAAAAAUUAAUUAUUGGUGAUUUUGAAACCUGGGAUGACCUUGUUGUAAUAUUUUUGUUAUCAGUUGGUUCAUUCUUCAUUUUGUAAUUGGGUUACGAAUUGAGUUUGUUUGAAUUGUAUUGGUGAUCUUAGAGGUUUUAUUUUAUUAGAGAAUUUAGUGAUGAACCAGAAAUAACUUCAUUGUCUGGCAAAUUCGUCUUUUGCUUUAUCAUUGCGCUCAUUUGUCUGGCAAAUUCGUGUUCUUUAACUCCCAUUUGAUUUUUUUUUUUUUGUUAGUCAAAUUGAUAUUUACUCAUUCAUUUAAGUUCACACAUUAAUUCUCAACCGUCUUAGUUCGUUAAUUGGAUCCUAUUAAUAGUCUCAGGAUAAUUAUAAGUGACUGGGUUGUGACAUUGAGUUGUGACUCAAAUAUUGUACUGUCCGCUUUAUUCUGCUUUAUGAUGCUUAGUUUAAUAUCUUAGACAAUAGAGGAAUCGAAACUGGAGCAUGGAAUGUAUUUAUUUCCAUAGUUGGGAUCUUGGAGAUGUUUCUUUACGUGUUUGUUCAUUGAGCUAAAAAUUUAAUCUCACUUAGCUGUGACUAAAUUUUUUUUUACUAUUAUCAAUGCAGGUAAUUAAUUGUUUCUGACAAAAUGAAGCAUAAAGAUGGGAAACCGAUUUCUCCAAAUGGUGAUAAAAGUCCCAGGAUUGUUCCUUUGACAGUAUUGUUUGUUGCACUAUGUGGGUUUUCGUUUUACCUUGGUGGAAUCUUUUGUUCUGAGAAAAACAGAGUCGAGAUUAGGGAUGUCUAGAAAGCAGUCCCGUCUCCCAAGGAUCCAGCGGUUGCUCCGCUUCAGAUCAAAUCUGUUAACUUCCUUGAAUGCAGCAGCAACUAUCAAGACUACACUCCAUGCACAAAUCCAAA
This 21836-nucleotide long non-coding RNA is filed under the name Citrus sinensis (sweet orange). Its description in RNAcentral is "long non-coding RNA (CSIN_LNC002031)". The record is from RNAcentral. Lineage: Eukaryota; Viridiplantae; Streptophyta; Magnoliopsida; Sapindales; Rutaceae.